RNAcentral lists this ribosomal RNA (271 nucleotides) under uncultured bacterium. RNAcentral describes it as "partial 16S ribosomal RNA". It matches the Rfam family "Bacterial small subunit ribosomal RNA", at positions 83 to 354 of the family's 1533-position model. The record is from RNAcentral.
UUUAGAUGGCGACCGGCGCACGGGUGAGUAACACGUAGUCCAACCUGCCGAUGACUCGGGGAUAGCCUUUCGAAAGAAAGAUUAAUACCCGAUGGCAUAGUUCUUCCGCAUGGUAGAACUAUUAAAGAAUUUCGGUCAUCGAUGGGGAUGCGUUCCAUUAGCUUGUUGGCGGGGUAACGGCCCACCAAGGCAUCGAUGGAUAGGGGUUCUGAGAGGAAGGUCCCCCACAUUGGAACUGAGACACGGUCCAAACUCCUACGGAAGGCAGCAG